UGGGGAAUAUUGCGCAAUGGGGGGAACCCUGACGCAGCAACGCCGCGUGAGCGAAGAAGGCCUUCGGGUCGUAAAGCUCUGUCAUGAGGGAAGAAGUCUCUCGUUUAUAGGGAGGUGACGGUACCUCAAGAGGAAGCCCCGGCUAACUACGUGCCAGCAGCCGCGGUAACACGUAGGGGGCGAGCGUUGUCCGGAAUUACUGGGCGUAAAGGGCGUGUAGGCGGCUGAUUAAGUCAGUUGUAAAAGGCUGCGGCUCAACCGCAGGAAUGCAAUUGAAACUGAUCAGCUUGAGGGCAAGAGAGGGAAGCGGAAUUCCUAGUGUAGCGGUGAAAUGCGUAGAUAUUAGGAGGAACACCAGUGGCGAAGGCGGCUUUCUGGCUUGUCCCUGACGCUGAGGCGCGAAAGCGUGGGGAGCAAACAGG
This 422-nucleotide ribosomal RNA is filed under the name uncultured bacterium. RNAcentral describes it as "bacterial SSU rRNA". It matches the Rfam family "Bacterial small subunit ribosomal RNA", at positions 355 to 776 of the family's 1533-position model. The record is from RNAcentral.